This 400-nucleotide ribosomal RNA is filed under the name uncultured bacterium. Its description in RNAcentral is "bacterial SSU rRNA". It matches the Rfam family "Bacterial small subunit ribosomal RNA", at positions 355 to 772 of the family's 1533-position model. The record is from RNAcentral.
UGGGGAAUAUUGGACAAUGGGGGAAACCCUGAUCCAGCAAUGCCGCGUGAAUGAUGAAGGCCUUCGGGUUGUAAAGUUCUUUUACAUGUGACGAUAAUGACGGUAACAUGAGAAUAAGCUCCGGCUAACUUCGUGCCAGCAGCCGCGGUAAUACGAAGGGAGCAAGCGUUGUUCGGAAUUACUGGGCGUAAAGGGCGCGUAGGUGGAUAUAUGGGUUAGAUGUGAAAGACCUGGGCUUAACCUGGGAACUGCAUUUAAAACUAUGUAUCUAGAGUACUGGAGGGGAUAGUAGAAUUCCUAGUGUAGAGGUGAAAUUCGUAGAUAUUAGGAAGAAUACCGAAGGCGAAGGCAGCUAUCUGGACAGUAACUGACACUGAGGCGCGAAAGCGUGGGGAGCAAA